CUCUGUGACUCCUACGGGAGGCAGCAGUGGGGAAUAUUGCACAAUGGGGGAAACCCUGAUGCAGCCAUGCCGCGUGUGUGAAGAAGGCCUUCGGGUUGUAAAGCACUUUCAGUAGGGAGGAAGGUAGUGUAGUUAACACCUGCACUAUUUGACGUUACCUACAGAAGAAGCACCGGCUAACUCCGUGCCAGCAGCCGCGGUAAUACGGGAGGGUGCGAGCGUUAAUCGGAAUUACUGGGCGUAAAGCGCAUGCAGGCGGCCUGUUAAGUCAGAUGUAGAAAGCCCCGGGGCUUAACCUCGGAAUUGCAUUUGAAACUGGCAGGCUAGAGUCUUGUAGAGGGGAGUAGAAUUUCAGGUGUAGCGGUGAAAUGCGUAGAGAUCUGAAGGAAUACCAGUGGCGAAGGCGGCCCCCUGGACAAAGACUGACGCUCAGAUGCGAAAGCGUGGGGAGCAAACAGGAUUAGAUACCCUGGUAA
Molecule: ribosomal RNA, 476 nt
Filed under: uncultured bacterium
Lineage: Bacteria
Description: bacterial SSU rRNA
Rfam family: Bacterial small subunit ribosomal RNA
Source: RNAcentral